This is a long non-coding RNA of Argiope bruennichi, 3150 nucleotides long. RefSeq lists it as uncharacterized. Lineage: Eukaryota; Metazoa; Arthropoda; Arachnida; Araneae; Araneidae. The record is from RefSeq and is a predicted model, not a curated record. The transcript has 3 exons.
UGCUGUAGUUUUGUGUUGAUUCAUUGCUAUAUUUGUUGCGUGCUUUCAUUAAAAAAAUUGAUUGCUGUGUUGCAAUAAAUGAACCACUUGGACCUGUUAACAUACCUUAUCCACAGAUCUGUCUAAAUUCGAAUAGAUGCCGGAAAAGUGAACUGCAAAUGGAAGGACUUCAUUCUCAGAAUUUCGAAUUGGUAUUUCGACCACUGGGAGUGCAAGGCUGCAAUGAACUUUCGAUGAAUUUGACUCGGUGAGCAUGAAUACCUCGACAAUGGUCCAGCCUUGGCCUUCAUAAAGUAGCGCAUCUUGCUGAUUCAAAGUUCCGAGAUGGAAAACUUGCCAAUUGUAUGGUAAAACUGCGUAUUUCAGUAUUCUUGUCCCUGGCUGACUUCUGAAAUCAUGAAACAGUAACGUUUAUUUCAUGAUUUUAUAUGUGAACUUGGACCUUAAAAACGUUCAUUGAUAUGUUUAGUUAGCACUUUCUGAAAUACUUUUCCUCAAGCUUGUACACUUCGAUAUAAAAUCAAAUUUAACUUAAUUGAUAGUAAACGAUAUCCUACAAUUGUACAGGGGACUUCAAUGUAUGUGCUAGUAGGCUUCCAAUACUUUUAUUCUUUAACAUUAAAAAGUGAUUGUUUUAUACAUCCAAUUUUGAAUAAUUUCGAAUGAAACGGACCAAACUACUUGAAUUCUAGCAAUCCCUACAUAGCUAGAGUUUAAUGUUGACAUAGGGUCCAGUCGUGAAUUCUUUUCUAGAUUAAAAUCGGUACAAAAAACUGCAGGUUACAGAUAUCGGUUUUUGCGAACUUGGGUGAACAUUCGUUGAAAAUCUAUUGGCUUAAUGGCACUUCAAUAGCAAUGACCAAAAUUCCAACUAUAAAUCUACAGAAUCGUCUGUUUGGCUUUCGCCUGAUUUAUUUAGAUUUGAGUUCUACCUUGUAUAGUUCACUCGCUUCUUAAGCUGUAUCAAAAUACGUAAGAUUAUUAUCUUGGACAGUACAUCUUACCUUCACAAUUGCAGUAACGAAUCGAGCUUCUCUGUAUGAGAUCAAUAUCUCAAACGAAGUUAGUGAUAAAGAUAUUUAAAAAUCGAUGUCCACUCCACCCCUUAAUAACCUAAACUUCCUUCGUUGUAGGCUUUUUUGACUCGAUUAUAUACGGAUUUCGCAAUAUUCUAGUCAUAAUGACUAUUCUUUUUCUCGAAGUUUCAUUGCAAUUCUCAAUAAUUACACUAUGCAAUUAUUUAAUGUACUCCUAUCUCUGUUGCUAAGUUUAAUUGUUUUCUCAAAGCCAUUGAAGCAUCAAACUAUCGAAAUAGAGAAGACAAAUUUGUCAAUGGGGAAUUUAUUAAAAUAGAAACUAAACCUAAAUCUUGAUUUGUGGCGUGGAAAAUUAAACCUUGCCAGGUUUCAACUGUCCUUUAAAAAACGCAACUUUUCCAUACAUGGCUUCUAUAUUAAAAUUCUUUAAAUAAGUUAAUUAUAAUAAUUUAAUGUAUACACCAAGUGUAGGAUCUGAAUCGGAGCAAACAAUUCUUUGAAUUUAAUUGACACGAGUCUUGGUUAACGACUACAAAUGCCAAUAUUGAAAAUAGAAAUUGCACUUAACUGGUUCACCGGGGUCGAAACUAAAGAAUAAAGUUUCGAGAAAGGUUAGUAUGGAAUGGAGGGUAACACGUUAAUAUGCUGGUCCCUGUUUACUUUCCGUCUAGACUGUUUGGGACCGGCGGUCUAAAGGGAAAGUAUCGGUCCCCAGGAUACCAACAUUUAACGUGUUAAUUAUUUGGGUUGGUAGGAAAAAAUGAUCAAAUCUCUAAUUUUUAAAUUUAUGACGCGUAAAGUGGGAUUGGUAUUACUUUAACAGAUUAAAUCUUAGUAUGAUAGGGUCUAAAGGUAGGAACCUGUUAAGUGCAAUUUAUAUUUCAAAUAUUGGUAGCGACUAUUGUAAAUUUACAGCGAGGCUAGAUUUAAGCUGCUUUAAUCAUUGCAAUGUUAACAAAUUCUACACGGGAAUACCGUGUUUUGAACUUUUGCUCGUAUAUUUUUCAGUAAGAUAUGAAUUGCUCAAGAUAUUUUUAAUCGUAUAUUGACUUUAACCUUCCAAUCGAAUAUUACGGCAAAUAGUCUAAAAUAUCUCUUUGGUCUCCUGGCUGGUAUCAAAAUGAGGAUCUACUAAAAAUGGAUAAAAUAAUUCCACAUAAAAUCGUUUUAUGCCUUAACUUUAAUAAAAUGGAAUCUGCUAUAACUUUAGAUCAAUUCUUUGGCAAGAUAUUAGUUCCCUGAUUUGAGGAAGCCUGACAAGGAAGUUAAAUUAGAGGUUCAAAUUUUAACGCAUUCGUUCAAUUCCCAUCCCCCUUUCCUCAAUACUUUUUGAAUCUAAAAAUGCACUAUUUAAACGUGGUAGGAUUAUAAGAAGAUCGCAUAACAAAAUUAUCGGAAUAUCUUUGUCCGAGUUGAUGUCGUGGUUUAAAAUAAUUCUGUUUCCUAGAUUUAGAUUGGAAUGACAAUGGUAGGUGAAAUCCUUAGUCGCAUAGAAAUAACUCCUUUCAUUCUGACGCUUGUUUUUUCAAUCGUCCGAUAAUUUUCUAGGAAAAGGCUUGACCAGAAUAUUUAGGAUUCCAGUGCAAAGUAAUGUCCUUAACAGAUUUGAGAGCCAUUUCCGUGAUCGAAAUAGCCAUAGACUUGAUUGCGAACGGCGUCUUUACAACAAACCGUUUAAUUCGUGCAGCUAUGGAUUCCGAUUGAUCCAUUUUAAUUCAUCGCUAACAUAAAUUCAAUUCGUAUUAAGGUCCGUUUCAUUUUUAAUCUAAAGUUUACAUUAAAUCGUUUUUAAUUUACUGCAGAAAGCUUCAACAAUGUCUCGCUCGAUUAAUUUUUGUCCUAAUUUUCGUACAAGAAACUUUAAAUGGUACUCGCUUUUCUUUUCAGAACUUGCAUAUUCUUCAAAUAACGACUUCAGAAUUUGCAUCGCAUGCUUUUAUGUCGAUGGUUAUAUUCCAUAGUUAAAAUCUCUUCAAUUCAGCAGUUAUGCAAGAUUUAAAAAUAUUCGGCUUUCAUUGAAGUUCCCUUGCCAUUUUAAAGAUCUUCAUUAAAGUAAGGCUUAAAUUUGUAAAUUUUGAAUAUUGUAUGUAAAUCCUAGUCAAUGUCUUAUCUG